RNAcentral lists this long non-coding RNA (1082 nucleotides) under Malus domestica (apple). RNAcentral describes it as "long non-coding RNA (MDOM_LNC001547)". The record is from RNAcentral. Lineage: Eukaryota; Viridiplantae; Streptophyta; Magnoliopsida; Rosales; Rosaceae.
UAUCUAUCUUUCUUCUCACGUAAUUUCACUGCAUGAGAGAGACAGACACACAAAAGAGUACACCAAAUUGUAUGCUAGUCUUUCUCCAAACUGCAGGCUGGGAUGGGAUUGGGGCAUUCAGAAACUUAGAAAGUUUGACAAGAGCCAUUCUUUGCAGUAGAGUCCCAAUAUUUUACUUUUAUUGUUGAAGGUACUAGCAAGCUGGCAAUUACCAGAUUUUCACACUUUCAUUUUCUUAUUGCACUUUUUUUCUCCCGUCUUUUGAUUUAUUCAAUCCAAAAGCUAAAAAAAAUAGAGAGAAUUGCACAAGGAGAAAAUGGGAGUGCGGAAAUCUCGAAUCAUCAGACAGACACAGGCAAAAACAAGAGGAAGUAACACCAUGAAAUGGACAACACAAGACUUUGAAUCUUUUCAUUCAUGAAAUCUGCACAGUAAACAAAUGGUGUCACACUAGGAUCCUCUCCCAACAUGAACCUACAUUUACCUAAUUGGAUUUGGGGUAUCCUUUUUUUCCCCAAAACUACAUGAACGGUAAAAACACUCAACAGAAAAAACACAUCAUUUCCCAGUGCCCAUAUAUCCCGUUAAAAGGCCGGGGACCGGAGCCUGACUCCCCCUAGGGUCCGAAUUGCCGAACCCCGAGGUAUCUACAAACUCGCCUAAGUAACAAGAUCACUGCUUACACAAGUCCUUUAAGCUUACUUAAAUUAACAGCUAAUUGCGCUUUAACUCCGAAUAUGAAUUACCCUUCGCCAAGCGCUGCUACUACGACUCCUCUUCAUCAGAAGAUAAAACUAUGGCACUCCUCCUAACUACAUUUGCCAUCUCGCUGUACUCGAUAUCUUAUUCUUGUUUGCUCGCUUCUUCUCUUGCUGUGGUGUAAAAUUAAGGGAUUAGGGUGCAACAAUUAUGAUAUGUUAUCUCACUCUUUCACUAACCCCGCGAAUUGGGUUCCAUGUUCGUUGAAGUUGUGGGAGCACAAACAGCUUCUACUGACAGCCGCUUCAACACAUUCGGACAUGGAUCUCCAAAGUUGCUGUUGGAUAUGGUGACUGCACAUCUCUGCUUCCCUAUGCACUUCU